This 484-nucleotide ribosomal RNA is filed under the name uncultured bacterium. RNAcentral describes it as "partial 16S ribosomal RNA". It matches the Rfam family "Bacterial small subunit ribosomal RNA", at positions 30 to 507 of the family's 1533-position model. The record is from RNAcentral.
AUUGAACGCUGGCGGCAUGCUUUACACAUGCAAGUCGAACGGCAGCGCGGGCUUCGGCCUGGCGGCGAGUGGCGAACGGGUGAGUAAUACAUCGGAACUUGCCCAGUAGUGGGGGAUAGCUCGGCGAAAGCCGGAUUAAUACCUCAUACGACCUGAGGGUGAAAGCGGGGGAUCUUCGGACCUCGCGCUAUUGGAUCGGCCGAUGGCAGAUUAGCUAGUUGGUGGGGUAAAGGCCUACCAAGGCGACGAUCUGUAGCUGGUCUGAGAGGACGACCAGCCACACUGGGACUGAGACACGGCCCAGACUCCUACGGGAGGCAGCAGUGGGGAAUUUUGGACAAUGGGCGAAAGCCUGAUCAAGCAAUGCCGCGUGAGUGAUGAAGGCCUUCGGGUUGUAAAGCACUUUUGGCGGGAACGAAAAGGACUGUGCCAAUACCACGGUUCGAUGACGGUACCCGCAGAAUAAGCACCGGCUAACUACGUG